UACGUAGGGGGCAAGCGUUAUCCGGAUUUACUGGGUGUAAAGGGAGCGUAGACGGCGUGCCAAGUCUGGUGUGGAAGGCCGGGGCUCAACUCCGGGACUGCAUUGGAAACUGGCAUGCUGGAGUGCUGGAGAGGCAAGCGGAAUUCCUAGUGUAGCGGUGAAAUGCGUAGAUAUUAGGAAGAACACCAGUGGCGAAGGCGGCUUGCUGGACAGUAACUGACGUUGAGGCUCGAAAGCGUGGGGAGCAAACAGG
This 253-nucleotide ribosomal RNA is filed under the name uncultured Lachnospiraceae bacterium. RNAcentral's name for it is "partial 16S ribosomal RNA". It matches the Rfam family "Bacterial small subunit ribosomal RNA", at positions 524 to 776 of the family's 1533-position model. Lineage: Bacteria; Bacillati; Bacillota; Clostridia; Lachnospirales; Lachnospiraceae. The record is from RNAcentral.